Molecule: long non-coding RNA, 2633 nt
Organism: Triticum aestivum (bread wheat)
Lineage: Eukaryota; Viridiplantae; Streptophyta; Magnoliopsida; Poales; Poaceae
Exons: 3
Source: RefSeq, a predicted model, not a curated record
ACCUCUUUCACCCCUCUCCUGAUGUGCUCCAUGCUGCUCUCGCGACAGAUAUGACGGUGAACCUUUGGUUGCACGGCGCGGCGGCUCGCCAUGGGACUCGACGCCGGUGGAGCUCCACAUGUCGGACGAGGAUGGGGGCACCGUGGCCAGUCCCGUGACACCAUGCCUCUCCCACCUCUUUCGGUGGCUUUCUCUACUGCCCCUGGAGCUCAACGUGGAGGGACUCGCCAUGCAUUGCGCAUCGUUCUGGACGCGGCUGCCCACUACCCUGCAAGUCGACUGUUCCAACGCCCACCAAGUGUUCGACGUAAUGUUUGCACGGCUGUAGGUAAAAGAAAAUCACUUCUAUCCAUAAACCGUUUCAAAGGUUAUAUGCGUGUUCCAUCCCAAGCACAAUUAUAUUUCUUUACAUGCACCUUUUGUGAUAUGUCUGCUUAUGCAAUGAGGCUCAGCCUGCUACUGAUUAUUGCAGUUUGGAAAUAUGUUGAAAGAGAACUUUACUGUCAAGAAGCCCUCCAUAGGAAAUAGGAUGCAGUGUAAAAUGGACUGUGCCUUAACCCUUGUUUGGUAUAAACUUCAUGGAUGAGGCAAUUGAGCCCUACACAACAAGCAUAUUUAAUGCAUCAAGGUUGUUAGGCACAAUUGUUCAUGUAGAACCAUCUGCUAAACUUACUGUGACUUCCUUUCCAGGAUUCUCCAUGGAAUCUUCGAACAGAUCAAUGGAUAAAGCAAAAGAACGUCCAUACGGGGCUCUGUCAGGCCUGCUGCUUCAGGUCGUCCUCCCCAAGAGUGUGAGAAGAAGCUGCUGCUGCAGAAUGUACCGCACGCUAUAUACUCAUGGGUCUUCAGGACAGAGAUGGGAGGCUCUUCUACAAGCUUGUGAUCGACAUCGGGGAGCUGCAUAUCCUUAUUUAUAGAGAUAAUUAGAAGUUUGUUAGAAAUUUCGUGUGCUCUGCAUCUAAUUUCAUAGGAAGUACAUCUACUGUAGUAGCAUGCAAGUGGGUUCAUGCCAUUAUACAUAGCACGUUCCAGCUGUUGUAUAUCCUUACUUUGAGAGACAAUUAGUAGUUUCUGAGAAUAUAUUUCAUAGCACGAGCACAUAGCUAUGAGAGAUUAUUAGAGCAGUAGUUCUGCCUACUACCACAUGUAUUUUUCCGUUGAUUGUACAAGUUCACAUGUACAUCUCUGAAUAAAGAAGAACCUUAUUACUGAAGUUAUAGAACAGAGGUGGUGUUGCUCUAUAUAUACAGGCUAUUAUUUGCAUGCUUUGCUGAAUAAGUGCAGUUUAGAAUGAGUUGAAAUCUAAGAGCAGACAGUUGCAUGUUCGACUUCCGUUUUGCAGUACCAUUUCUUACUUCCAAUUAGAAUAGUUGUCGUUCAGUAUUUGCCUAGCUCUAAUACCAUUCCUCACAAAAUACAUGCACCUUUUUUAGUGUCCGAAUUUUAUUAUCUGUUGGUGAUCAGUUUUUCCUACUCCAGUUGUUGGAUGUGCUAUCCUCCCUUCUCACUCUCGGGCUCUAGCAGCAAAUGGACGGCAAGCAUCACGAAGCAGCUCAGCUCCAUCGCCUUCAGUGGUGGCAAGGUCUGUAUGCUCAGCCCAACCCCGAUGCUCUCUGUGCAUUUUAUUUAUACACCAAAAUACACUGAAUGGAGGACAAGUUCUACUUUUUGUUAAUGGAGCUAGCUUGAUCGAUCUAAUCCCGGCGGAUGCGCUAAUUUUUGUUCAUGCCCACGUGUAUUUGUGUUGAUGUCUGCAAAGGAGCAAGCGUACUAGAGGGAUGGUUGGAAGGGGAGUAAUCUGCUACAAUGUUUUACAUCUUUUAUAGUUAUUUUUUGAAUCUGUGAUAUAAUAUAUAAUGCAUUCCGUAGAAACCAAAAUGAUGUUCAUUGGAGCUUCUCUCUUGGUAUGAUUCUUUCAUUCGUUUCUUCUUUGAGGAAACUCCAUACUUGAAAAAUGUCUCUUCAUGGCUUCUUCAAAGUUUUUUCUGUAGUUUUCAGUCUUGGGUGCAUGCAGUUUCUUCAUGUCACGUCUGAAAUUUGGAGCCAUGUAUGUAAGUACAUUCUAAUUGGCAGAGCCUUCCCGGUUUAUGAUACUAAAUGAGGUACUUCUAUAUAUAGGUUUGCACCGUGUCAUUUUUUCCUGUGAUUAAUUGAUCUUCAUACCAAGAAAAUCAUGUUCGAGGGAUAUUGUGCAUAAUCUGAUUUUCAGUGCUUUUUAUGAGAACAGGGUUGUCAAGUAAUUAUUUUUAAAAGAAUUCACAAUGCAAACAAUGAUUUUAGCAAAAAUAUGCAGUAGCUUCUCCAAUGUGCUGCCACUUCAGAUGUACCCCCACACAGCGAAGAUCCUAUUAUCGCGUACACAGGAGCAAAACCACCUGACGUGUCCAAGAAUUUGCAGAAGCUUUAUAUCACUUUAUUACAUUCACUAAUCUUGCAGGAGGCUAUACCAGGAUGAUCUAAUUCAGUAAAAAAUAUUUGCGACAUCUUAUUGUAGUACGGUUGUAUGACCAUACACAGCCCUAUGUAGAGUGCACGGCACAUGGUUUUAAUAAGUAGCUUUUAUUAGAGGUGUGCCAAUGUCAAUUGUUUGUCAGUGUCUAUUGUGCAUGAUUGUAAUAAAUGUACUUCUUCGA